RNAcentral lists this ribosomal RNA (253 nucleotides) under uncultured bacterium. RNAcentral's name for it is "partial 16S ribosomal RNA". It matches the Rfam family "Bacterial small subunit ribosomal RNA", at positions 524 to 776 of the family's 1533-position model. The record is from RNAcentral.
CACGUAGGGCGCAAGCGUUGUCCGGAAUUACUGGGCGUAAAGCGUGCGCAGGCGGUUUGCUAAGACAGGUGUGAAAUCCCCGGGCUUAACCUGGGAACUGCGCUUGUAACUGGCAAGCUAGAGUGUGGCAGAGGGGGGUGGAAUUCCACGUGUAGCAGUGAAAUGCGUAGAGAUGUGGAGGAACACCGAUGGCGAAGGCAGCCCCCUGGGCUAACACUGACGCUCAUGCACGAAAGCGUGGGGAGCAAAUAGG